GUAAACUCACGUGUAAUAAAUGACUCAUUUAUCCUUUUUCUCAACUGAGGUCCCUUUCCUUCAUUUUCUUCUGUAAAUACAACAUUCAGCUAUUCAGACAUUCGGAAGUAUCCGAAUGACCGAAUUGCCCAAAAUUUGUCCGAAUUGACAUUUGGAACGAAAAUAAUUGCACAUGUCUACUGCUCAUGCAGGAUGUUUAUUGGGUCCUUCAGGUACAGAGAGGCUGAAC
Molecule: non-coding RNA, 229 nt
Organism: Pelobates cultripes (western spadefoot toad)
Lineage: Eukaryota; Metazoa; Chordata; Amphibia; Anura; Pelobatidae
Source: the annotation of a GenBank genome assembly